UGAAUACGAGACGCUAAGGCGUCGAAGUUGUGUAUGUCAUACUUCCAAGAAAAGCUUGCACUGUCAUAAGUAAAAAAUGCCUGUACCAUAACCGACACAGGUGGGUAGGUAGAGUAUACUAAGGGGCGCGAGAUAACUCUCUCUAAAGAACUCGGCAAAAUAACUCCGUAACUUCGGGAGAAGGAGUGCCUUAUUCUUAAGGUUGCAAUAACAAGAUCCAAGCAACUGUUUAUCAAAAACACAGGUCUCCGCUAAGUCGCAAGACGAUGUAUGGGGGCUGACGCCUGCCCAGUGCCAGAAGGUUAAAGAAGUUGGUUAGCUUUUGCGAAGCUGAUAACUGAAGCCCUGGUGAACGGCGGCCGUAACAAUAACGGUCCUAAGGUAGCGAAAUUCCUUGUCGGGUAAGUUCCGACCCGCACGAAAGGCGUAAUGAUUUGGAUACUGUCUCGGAGAGGGGCUCGGUGAAAUAGACUUGUCUGUGAAGAUGCGGACUACCUGCACCAGGACAGAAAGACCCUAUGAAGCUUUACUGUAACUUGAAAUUGAAAUUGGACUUUAUUCGCGCAGUAUAGGUGGGAGGCGUUGAUUGUAAUCUUGCGGGAUUAUUGGAGCCAUCAGUGAGAUACCACUCUUGUAAUGUUAGAUUUCUAACUUUGUAUCAUUAUCUGGUCAAAGAACAGUUUCAGGCGGGCAGUUUGACUGGGGUGUCGCCUCCUAAACGGUAACGGAGGCGUACAAAGGUUUCCUCUGAACGGUUAGAAAUCGUAUCUAGAGUGUAAAGGCAUAAGGAAGCUUGACUGUGAGACCUACAAGUCGAGCAGGGACGAAAGUCGGUCUUAGUGAUCUGACGGUACUGAGUGGAAAGGCCGUCACUCAACGGAUAAAAGUUACUCUAGGAUAACAGGCUGAUCUCCCCCAAGAGUUCACAUCGACGGGGAGGUUUGGCACCUCGAUGUCGGCUCAUCGCAUCCUGGGGCGGUAGUACGUCCCAAGGGUUGGGCUGUUCGCCCAUGAAAGCGGUACGCGAGCUGGGUUCAGAACGUCGUGAGACGGUUCGGUCCAUAUCCGGUGUAGGCGUUAGAAUAUUGAGAGGAGCCUUCUUUAGUACGAGAGGACCGAGAAGGACAUACCUCUGGUGUACCAGUUAUCGUGCCAACGGUAAACGCUGGGUAGCUAUGUAUGGAGUGGAUAACCGCUGAAAGCAUCUAAGUGGGAAGCCCACCUCAAGAUAAGUAUUCUCAUU
RNAcentral lists this ribosomal RNA (1243 nucleotides) under metagenome. RNAcentral describes it as "bacterial LSU rRNA". It matches the Rfam family "Bacterial large subunit ribosomal RNA", at positions 1564 to 2818 of the family's 2925-position model. The record is from RNAcentral.